CCUACGGGUGGCAGCAGUGGGGAAUAUUGCACAAUGGGGGGAACCCUGAUGCAGCGACGCCGCGUGAGUGAAGAAGGAUUUCGGGAUGUAAAGCUCUAUCAGCAGGGAAGAAAAUGACGGUACCUGACUAAGAAGCCCCGGCUAACUACGUGCCAGCAGCCGCGGUAAUACGGAGGGGGCAAGCGUUAUCCGGAUUUACUGGGUGUAAAGGGAGCGUAGACGGUUCUGCAAGUCUGAAGUGAAAGCCUAAGGCUCAACCAUGGGACUGCUUUUGAAACGGUCAAACUGGAGUGCAGGAGAGGUAAGCGGAAUUCCUAGUGUAGCGGUGAAAUGCGUAGAUAUUAGGAGGAACACCAGUGGCGAAGGCGGCUUACUGGACUGUAACUGACGUUGAGGCUCGAAAGCGUGGGGAGCGAACAGGAUUAGAUACCCGGGUAGUC
This 440-nucleotide ribosomal RNA is filed under the name uncultured bacterium. RNAcentral describes it as "partial 16S ribosomal RNA". It matches the Rfam family "Bacterial small subunit ribosomal RNA", at positions 338 to 795 of the family's 1533-position model. The record is from RNAcentral.